Molecule: long non-coding RNA, 6330 nt
Organism: Xenopus laevis (African clawed frog)
Lineage: Eukaryota; Metazoa; Chordata; Amphibia; Anura; Pipidae
Exons: 2
Source: RefSeq, a predicted model, not a curated record
UUCCUCUAUCCCAUGAUAAGAAUUUUUGGGUCUGUGUUGUGUGUGUCUUCUACAAAGCUCUUCUGGCCUGGCAUUUCAGGUACACAGAGGCCCAAUAAGCCCACACAGGGCCCCAACAGCCCACUAAAUACUGACUUUCUAUGGUAUCUUAUAGCAGCCCCUCUGGCAUUUGCCAGAACCCACAGAUUGCCAGUCCGGGCCUGGCUGAGUGUACCUUACCUGUUUCACACGCAAGCUGACACUUUAUUCCAUAUCCCAGGCAUUCAAUGCGCCACUUGACAUACCAGUGCCUAUUCUGAAUCCAAGUCAAGGCCUGGGUAGGAGGAAAGGUACUAGAAUCACUGAGUGCCUAACUACCUGGCACCCUUCCUUUAAAUUGGCAAAAUAAAAAAAAACUUUUUGAGGUAAAUAAAAUGUAUUUGACUUUUAGAUGAUUUUCUGUCACAAACCAUUGUUUUAAUCCUUUAUAACUCCAAUUCUGAGGUAAACUGCACUUUUCAGAAUUCCCCACAGUGCUGCGGGUGUACAUACAUGAGGGGAAUUACUAAGUGGGAUAUAAAGUACCACAGGGUAGCCCCCAGCUGGUAUUUUAUAAGGAUGAUGUUAGAUGCCAGUUAUAUUGACAAGGCCAGCAGCAAUACCAAGGGCAUCGUUUAUUCAGGGGGCAAUACCAUGGGCUGUCUCUGGAAAUGGAAGACAAGUGGCACUUAUACCUACUACUCUUAAACCAGAAACUACACUACACUAGUCCUGUAUCUCAGCAGAACUAAAACUCCCAUAAUCCCCACGCAACACGCAAUGGGAGGUUGGAUGUGACUGUAUUUACCAAAAGCGGUACCCCAUUAAAUACAAGUAACUCUAGUUUGUUUGUGUGAGGGGCAGUUCAACAAUAAACCCAUAUUCGCAGUAUAUUGAUGACAGAUUCCACCAGGCCCGGACUAACAAUCUGUGGGUUCUGGCAAAUGCCAGAAGGGCUUCUGUAAGGUCCCAUAGACAGUCACUAUUUAGUGGGCUGGUGGAGGAUGUUUUGGGCCUCUGUGUACUUGGAAUGCCAGGGCCUAUUUGACUCCCAGUCCAGACCUGGAUUCCACUAGAGUCGAGCUACUUCUCAAUCACUCCUGGGGCUGGAGUAGAAGCAGCCACCGUGACUAACAUACUGAGCCCGCCCACCAUUUUUUCUUAUUUGUGACUUCGACAGACGCCGAGUUAUUGUUAAAUCUCCACACAGAAAGUGUAGUAGCAGUCUUUGUCUUUCGGCAAACAAAUAUUUAUUUGACAAUAAUAUACGUUGAGGCGCCUGCUAUUGUACGAACUACAAUGUCCCGCGGCCUAACUGCUAGCCGGGUGCUUCUGGGAAUUGUAGUUUUUCCCCCCAGCAGGCGACGCGUACUCGGCAAAGAGCGGGAUACUAUGAUUGACAGCUGGUACAUCCUAUAGGCGGAAGGCGUUCAUGCUACCGGAAGCGCACUCCUAUUUCGCUUGGGCGAGAGGGCGGAAAGGAGGGUGGGUGGUCGGUCGCGGUGGCGCAGUGUAAUCUUACAGCUGGUUAUAUGUAGGAUUUUUAUAUGCUACUUUUUUUCAGGGGACCCACAAUAACGCUGUGCUAACCAGCAAUUGGUUUAGAAUGGACUGUGCGUCUUAUUUUAGUCGCUAUUUGGGAGGACAAAAGGAAGCGACUAUAUAAGCGAGGAGGAGGGUUGUUAUUGGGCUGUAGGUUUUACUGCUUGAAAUGGCCUCUUGCUUAUUGCCCCCAAAUAGCAGUCUCAGCUGACUACUGCUGUAAUCCAGGGGCAUUAUACUUAGCCAGCAACAGGUCCAAGUAGGUUGGUCUGAAGGCAGAAAUUAUCAUGGCUAUACCUGCUGACAACCCCCCAUUCCCUUUUAGGCCAAGUCUGGUGGCUUAAGACCAGACAUAGGUAGGGUCCUCGCAAGUUGCAGCAUGGUUUGCCUGACUACUGCUAAUGACCUAUAGCUUUACUAUAAUAUUCUGCCUACAGUGACCUGAGAAUCUCUAUCCCGUCGACUUUAAUGCAGCGAAUCUCUUAGGGGUGUAUUAUUACUUUCUGGUCAGGGUUAUUUAGCCAGCAAAGGGGCUGCUGUAAUCCAGGUGCAUUAUACUUAGCCAGCAACAAGUUCAAGUAGGUUGGUCAGAAGGCAGAAAUUAUCAUGGCUAUACCGUGCUGACAACCCCCCAUUCCCUUUUAGGCCAAGUCUGGUGGCUUAAGACCAGACAUAGGUAGGGUCCUCGCAAGUUGCAGCAUGGUAUGCCUGACUACUGCUAAUGACCUAUAGCUUUACUAUAAUCUGCCUACAGUGACCUGAGAAUCUCUAUCCCAUCGACUUUAAUGCAGCGAAUCUCUUAGGGGUGUAUUAUUACUUUCUGGUCAGGGUUAUUUAGCCAGCAAAGGGGCUGCUGUAAUCCAGGGGCAUUAUACUUAGCCAGCAACAAGUUCAAGUAGGUUGGUCAGAAGGCAGAAAUUAUCAUGGCUAUACCGUGCUGACAACCCCCCCAUUCCCUUUUAGGCCAAGUCUGGUGGCUUAAGACCAGACCUAGGUAGGGUCCUCGCAAGUUGCAGCAUGGUUUGCCUGACUACUUCUAAUAACCCUGCUGGUAUUCUGCUAACAGUGACCUGAGAAUCCAUAUCCAGUUGAUGACUUUGAUGCAGUAAAUCUCGUAGGGGUGUAUUAUUACUUUCAGGUCAGGGUUAUUUAGCCUGGCAGUGUUACAGAAUGAGAGAUUCUAAAAACACUACUGCAACUGGCGAACCUGCUCUACUGCUUCGACCCUGAUGCAGUAGCGAUAUUAUCUCAAAUUUUAUCUCUAUUACUUUUUUCAGUUCUGAACCUCACGGUUAAUAUUUCAAAUGAGUUUAUAUAAAAGUGAAGUUAUAGCUGGAAUCAACUUCUAAAUAUUGAAUGGGUGGUGCAGUUAGGUACAUAGUUGGACUAACUGAGGGGCUGCUGUAAUCUAUGGGAAUUAUACUUAGCCAGCAAGUUCAAUUAGAUUGGUCAGAAGGCAGAAUUUGUCAUGGCUAUACCUGUUGACAACCCCCUGUUCCCUUUUAGGCCAAGUCUGGUGGCUUAAGACCAGACAUAGGUAGGGUCCUCGCAAGUUGCAGCAUGGUUUGCCUGACUACUGCUAAUGACCUAUAGCUUUAAUAUAAUAUUCUGCCUACAGUGACCUGAGAAUCUCUAUCCCGUUGACUUUAAUGCAGCGAAUCUCUUAGGGGUGUAUUAUUACUUUCUGGUCAGGGUUAUUUAGCCAGCAAAGGGGCUGCUGUAAUCCAGGGGCAUUAUACUUAGCCAGCAACAAGUUCAAGUAGGUUGGUCAGAAGGCAGAAAUUAUCAUGGCUAUACCGUGCUGACAACCCCCGUUCCCUUUUAGGCCAAGUCUGGUGGCUUAAGACCAGACAUAGGUAGGGUCCUCGCAAGUUGCAGCAUGGUUUGCCUGACUACUUCUAAUAACCCUGCUGGUAUUCUGCUAACAGUGACCUAAGAAUCCAUAUCCAGUUGAUGACUUUGAUGCAGUAACUCUCAUAGGGGUGUAUUAUCAUUUUCAGGUCAGGGUAAUUUAGCCUGGCAGUGUUACAGAAUGAGAGAUUCUAAAAACACUACUGCAACUGGCGAACCUACUCCACUGCUUAGUCCCUGAUGCAGUAGCGAGAUUAUCUAAAAUUUUAUCUCUAUUACUUUUUUCAGUAUAGCUGGAAUCAACUUCUAAAUAUUGAAUGGGUGGUGCAGCUAGGUACACAGUUGGACUAACAGAGGGGCUGCUGUAAUCUAGGGGCAUUAUACUUAGCCAGCAAAUUCAAUUAGAUUGGUCAGAAGGCAGAAUUUGUCAUGGCUAUACCUGUUGACACCCCCCUGUUCCCUUUUAGGCCAAGUCUGGUGGCUUAAGACCAGACAUAGGUAGGGUCCUUGCAAGUUGCAGCAUUGUUUGCCUGACUACUGCUACUGACCUAUAACUUUAAUAUAACCCUGCUGGUAUUCUGCCUACAGUAAUCCAAGUAUCUCGAUCCGAUAGACUGAUGUAGUAAAUGUCGUAGGGGUGUAUUAUUACUUUCUUGUCAGGGUUAUUUAGCCUGGAGGUGUUACAGGAUGAGAGAUUCGAAACACACCGCUGCAACUGGCGAACCUGCUCCACCACUUACUCCCUGAUACAGGAGCGAGAUUAUCUCAAUUUUUUUCUCUUAUUACUUUUUUAAAGAUCUUAACCCAUAAUCAAUAUUUUAAAUGACUUUAUAUAAAGGUUAAGUUUUAGUAGGAAUCAACUUCUAAAUAUCGAAUUGGUGAGGCAGUUCGAUACAUGGUCGGACUGUUAGAGGGGCUGCUGUAAUCCAAAGGCAUUAUACUUAGCCUGCAACAAUUUUAUUGAGUUGGUCAGAAGGCAGAAAUUAUCAUGGCUAUACCGUGCUGACAACCCCCCAUUCCCUUUUAGGCCAAGUCUGGUGGCUUAAGACCAGACAUAGGUAGGGUCCUCGCAAGUUGCAGCAUGGUUUGCCUGACUACUGCUAAUAAUCUAUAGCUUUAAUAUAACCCUGCUGGUAUUCUGCCUACAGUAAUCCAAGAAUCUCUAUUCAGUUGACUGAUGCAGUGAAUCACAUAGGGGUUUAUUAUUACUUUCUGGUCAGGGUUAUUUAGCCUGGAGGUGUUACAGGAUGAGAGAUCCGAAACACACCACUGCAACCGACGAACCUGCUCUAUCACACCCUGAAUUUUGGUAUGAAUGGGUGAGGCAGUUAAGAUACACAGUCUGUCCUGAAUUAAGUGGAGAUAGAGGACACUUCAAUGAUAUUUUGUGCUGUAAAUUGCUGUGUAUUGGGCCUGUGGGGGGCUGUUUGGGACUCUGUGUACCCAAAAUGCCAGGGCCUAUUUUGAUUCAGUUCAGACCUGGUAUAAUAUAUUUUAUAUGCCUUAAGUGCUGGAUAAUUAUGUGGAGCAUUAACAUGCUAUUGCACAACUCAGAAUAUGCUGGUACUUUAUAAAUAUAUAAUAAAUAAUAACAUGCACUGUCCAUAUUAUAAAACUCUGUACCCUUAGAGCAGAUAUCUUAAGGUCUUUUUUUUAUUUUAACACAGUUUUUUUUUGUAGUUAAACUUUUCAGUCUUUCCAAGGUAAACAUCUAUGAAAACAUGAUCUCGUAGCAGUACAGCCGGUCAUUAGGUAUAAGAUUCGAACAUCAAGGGCUUAACUCCAUGGGAAAUUUUGUAGGAUCGACAUAACGCACCCCGCAAGUCAGAUGUAGUCACAUGGGUUUAAAUAUAAUAUAUAAAAUCUGAUGGAUAAAUUACAUGAAUCAUUUGCCAUCCGACACAACACGCCUGUCGGAUGGAUACGCAACAUGCUGCAUCUAAAUUGACAAGAUAAAAACCGAUGUUGUCGGAAAGCCUUUUUUUUCCUCUUUGAAAUACAUUGACUGUCAGAUGUAAACGCAUGAGCAAAAGACUCCAUCCGACUUUAUCUGAUUUGACAUUACAUUACAGUUGUGGGGAAUCUGAUUUUGAAGCAUCCUAUAAAAUCUUGUGCUGUUGUGUGAUGUUGCAUAGAUCAGAUAAGAUCUAACCUACAAAAUGUGAUCAAAAUCUUUUGUGGAGUUUAGUUCUUAGAGAGGUCUUACAAAGAGUGGAUUUUUACCUGAUUUGGCAACCAAUGUUGGGCCAAAUUUAGAUGACCUGAUUGUUUGGCCAUGGGACCAAACACCGAAGCAUAAUGCGGGUUAGGGGACACCUGUAAGAAAAGCAGUGCAUUGACAGGUUAUCUGGAGGGCCCCAUACACUGCCAAAUAAUGUCCUACUCAGUCUGGUUGUCGGCAUGUGUAUUGCUUAACUCCAAUAUCUCUAGGGAUAUCCUAAAUUGUAAAUAAACAUUUACACUCAUUACACCCUAUGUAGCCUCCAGUGUAUCUCAUAUCUGCUCACACAUAGCUGUAUCUCCAUCGCAUUGCUAAUAAAUUCUGUUGUCCAUCACAUUAGGCAAUUCGUGGCUGUGGUCCAAAUGUCACAUGCAACUAGCUGCUUCCCAUUGAGUGUACAGAGAUAACUGUGUGUUUAGUGUGACCCAUGGCGCAACAUGCUUUGGCUUUGUCCAAAAGGCAAUGUCCUAACUGAUUUCCGACUUUGACAGAAGUCAUUGGGUGCAGGUUGUAAUGGACCAACCUGUUGAUUAGGAUUUGAUUAAUAGCAGUAGGAUAUUGGGGUAAAUGGAAUCUAAAAUUCUAAAAGGGUAGUCGGAAUGAAAACACAAUUAGAUUUAAUCAGGCAAAGGCCCCUAAAGUAUCAGAGUAUGGAUAUUUAUGAAUGUACUAUAAGAAUGUCAACAGAUAUUACGUGA